GAAGAAUUGUGUCGCUAAUUCAAUCAUCUCUUUUCUUUUUUGUUGUGUUUUCCCUCUUCACAAUUUACUCUUGAGCCGAUUUUUAUGAAUUUGUUCACAAGAACAAAAUUUAAGUCUGUGGAUUAUAUAUGGACUUGUGCUUGUCACAUCUGUUUGAUAUUGGCUGUUAUGUAUGGGUCAAAUAGUGGAAGGCUAUGCUUUUCAUGCUGAAGGACCCAGCCCAGCUUGAUAGCUACCUCAGAGGCAUCUGUAUGGAAGAUAAACUGUUCUGAGAAGUCAGGAGUGUGGAGUACAGUGUGACCACACGACGUUUCCUUCAUAUGUGGGGCAGCCUUUUGCUAUUUGGGCAUCCACCACACUU
RNAcentral lists this long non-coding RNA (361 nucleotides) under Crocodylus porosus (Australian saltwater crocodile). RNAcentral's name for it is "lncRNA (ENSCPRG00005018907.1)". The record is from RNAcentral. Lineage: Eukaryota; Metazoa; Chordata; Crocodylia; Crocodylidae.